ACGAUCGCAAGAUUAAAACUCAAAAGAAUUGACGGGGGCCCGCACAAGCGGUGGAGCAUGUGGUUUAAUUCGAUGCUACGCGAACAACCUUACCUGGGCUUGACAUGUUGGUAGUAGUGAACCGAAAGGGGAACGAUCCCGAGCAAUCGGGAAGCCUUCACAGGUACUGCAUGGCUGUCGUCAGUUCGUGUCGUGAGAUGUUUGGUUAAGUCCAACAACGAACGCAACCCCCAUUGCCAGUUGACAGCGUUAAGACGGUCACUCUGGCGAAACUGCCCCUGAUGAAGGGGAGGAAGGUGGGGAUGAGGUCAAGUCAUCAUGGUCUUUAUGCCCAGGGCCACACACGUGCUACAAUGCGGCGUACAAAGGGACGCAAUUCCGCGAGGAAGAGCAAAUCUCAAAAAGCGCCGCUCAGUUCGGAUUGAAGGCUGCAAUUCGCCUUCAUGAAGCUGGAAUCGCUAGUAACCGCAGAUCAGCGUGCUGCGGUGAAUACGUUCUCGGGCCUUGUACACACCGCCCGUCACACCAUGGAAGCCAGAAACACCUAAAGUCUCCGGUUCGCCGGGGCCUAGGGUGGUGCUGGUGACUGGGGUGAAGUCGUAACAAGGUAGCCGAAUCGAAUUCCCG
Molecule: ribosomal RNA, 627 nt
Filed under: uncultured bacterium
Lineage: Bacteria
Description: bacterial SSU rRNA
Rfam family: Bacterial small subunit ribosomal RNA
Source: RNAcentral